This 432-nucleotide ribosomal RNA is filed under the name uncultured bacterium. RNAcentral describes it as "partial 16S ribosomal RNA". It matches the Rfam family "Bacterial small subunit ribosomal RNA", at positions 29 to 507 of the family's 1533-position model. The record is from RNAcentral.
AACGAACGCUGGCGGCAGGCCUAACACAUGCAAGUCGAGCGAGGACUUCGGUCCUAGCGGCGGACGGGUGAGUAACGCGUGGGAACGUGCCCUUUGCUUCGGAAUAGCCCUGGGAAACUGGGAGUAAUACCGGAUGAGCCCUUUGGGGAAAGAUUUAUCGGCGAAGGAUCGGCCCGCGUUGGAUUAGGUAGUUGGUGGGGUAAUGGCCUACCAAGCCGACGAUCCAUAGCUGGUUUGAGAGGAUGAUCAGCCACACUGGGACUGAGACACGGCCCAGACUCCUACGGGAGGCAGCAGUGGGGAAUAUUAGACAAUGGGGGAAACCCUGAUAUAGCCAUGCCGCGUGAGAGAUGAAGGCCUUAGGGUUGUAAAGCUCUUUCAGCUGGGAAGAUAAUGACGGUACCAGCAGAAGAAGCCCCGGCUAACUCCGUG